CGCGCAAAUUACCCACUCCCAGUACGGGGAGGUGGUGACGAAAAAUACCGAUGCGAGACUCACAUAGAGGCUCCGCAAUCGGAAUGAGUGAACCUUAAAUCCUUUCACGAGGAUCAAUUGGAGGGCAAGUCUGGUGCCAGCAGCCGCGGUAACUCCAGCUCCAAUAGCGUAUAUUAAAGUUGCUGCAGUUAAAAAGCUCGUAGUUGGAUCUCGGUAGCACUGUUGCUCGUCAGUCCUUGGGCGAGAGGCUAUGUGUGCAUGGGUUAAGCCCGUGUUGCCGUGGCCGCUCUGCUCGAGUUGGCGAUGCGGUGGUGUCACCUUUCAGCCAUGUCUGUGGUGAAAUACCCGCACGUGUAGGCGAGUGUCGGGCGGCGCCCUGCAUUUGUAGGGCUCGUCGGCUCGUCUGCAUGCCUUUGGAUGCCCUUUAAAAGGUGUCUGUGGGGCGGAUGGCACGUUUACGUUUGAACAAAUUUGAGUGCUCAAACCCACGCCGAUGUUGCCUGAAAAGUUUUGCAUGGAAAUAAUGGGAAUAGGACUUUCGGGUUCCUAUCUCGUUUGGGUUUUUCU
This 567-nucleotide ribosomal RNA is filed under the name Acanthobothrium sp. 1045.C.og.v12. RNAcentral describes it as "bacterial SSU rRNA". It matches the Rfam family "Eukaryotic small subunit ribosomal RNA", at positions 433 to 859 of the family's 1831-position model. Lineage: Eukaryota; Metazoa; Platyhelminthes; Cestoda; Tetraphyllidea; Onchobothriidae. The record is from RNAcentral.